This 70-nucleotide transfer RNA is filed under the name Ictidomys tridecemlineatus (thirteen-lined ground squirrel). Its description in RNAcentral is "Spermophilus tridecemlineatus (thirteen-lined ground squirrel) tRNA". It matches the Rfam family "tRNA". From Rfam's summary of the family: Transfer RNA (tRNA) molecules are approximately 80 nucleotides in length. Their secondary structure includes four short double-helical elements and three loops (D, anti-codon, and T loops). The record is from Rfam by way of RNAcentral. Lineage: Eukaryota; Metazoa; Chordata; Mammalia; Rodentia; Sciuridae.
GGGGAUGUAGCUCAGUUGGUAGAGUGCCUGCCUCGAACGCACAAGGCCCUGGGUUCAAUCCCCAGCCCCG